RNAcentral lists this ribosomal RNA (822 nucleotides) under uncultured bacterium. Its description in RNAcentral is "bacterial SSU rRNA". It matches the Rfam family "Bacterial small subunit ribosomal RNA", at positions 56 to 850 of the family's 1533-position model. The record is from RNAcentral.
UGCAAGUCGAACGAGAAAUCUCGAGCUUGCUCGGGAGAGUAAAGUGGCGCACGGGUGAGUAACGCGUGGGUAACCUGUCCUUAAAUUUGGGAUAAUCCACCGAAAGGUGGCCUAAUACCAAAUACAGUCCAAGGAACCAAGGUUCUUUGGAUGAAAGCUGACCUCUUCAUGAAAGUUGGCGUUUGAGGAGGGGCUCGCGUACCAUUAGCUUGUUGGUAGGGUAAUGGCCUACCAAGGCUACGAUGGUUAGCUGGUCUGAGAAGAUGGCCAGCCACACUGGAACUGAAACACGGUCCAGACUCCUACGGGAGGCAGCAGUGAGGAAUCUUGCGCAAUGGGGGAAACCCUGACGCAGCGACGCCGUGUGAGUGAAGAAGGCCUUCGGGUCGUAAAGCUCUGUCAAGUGGGAAUAAAGUCCCUCGGUGAAUACCCGAGGGAUCUGAAGGUACCACUAAAGGAAACACCGGCUAACUCCGUGCCAGCAGCCGCGGUAAUACGGAGGGUGCAAGCGUUAUUCGGAUUUAUUGGGCGUAAAGAGCGUGUAGGCGGUUGGGAUAGUCAGACGUGAAAGCCUUCUGCUCAACAGAAGAAGUACGUCUGAAACUGCCCAACUUGAGUACGAGAGAGGAAAGUGGAAUUCCCAGUGUAGAGGUGAAAUUCGUAGAUAUUGGGAGGAACACCUGUGGCGAAGGCGACUUUCUGGAUCGAUACUGACGCUGAGACGCGAAAGCGUGGGUAGCAAACAGGAUUAGAUACCCUGGUAGUCCACGCUGUAAACGAUGGGAACUAGGUGUAGCGGGUAUUGAUCCCUGCUGUGCCGAA